GAUGAAGAACGUAGCGAAAUGCGAUAAGUAAUGUGAAUUGCAGAAUUCAGUGAAUCAUCGAAUCUUUGAACGCACCUUGCGCCCCUUGGUUAUUCCGAAGGGCAUGCCUGUUUGAGUAUCAUGAACACCUCAACUCUUGUGGUUUCCCACAAUGAGCUUGGACCAUGGAGGUUUUUGUUGGCCCUCUGGUCAGCUCCUCUCAAAUGGAUCAGCUUACCGGUGUUUGGUGGCAUCAUGGGUGUGAUAACUAUCUACGCUUGUGGUCGUCUCCAAAUAACCUCCAGUGAUGGAGGUUCGCUGGAGCUUAUAAACGUCUCUCCCCAGUGAAGACAGCCUUUGAACGUUCGAUCUCAAAUCAGGUAGGACUACCCGCUGAACUUAAGCAUAUCAAUAAGCGGUGGA
RNAcentral lists this unclassified non-coding RNA (402 nucleotides) under soil metagenome. RNAcentral describes it as "partial contains 5.8S ribosomal RNA, internal transcribed spacer 2, and large subunit ribosomal RNA". The stretch from base 1 to 121 matches the Rfam family "5.8S ribosomal RNA", at positions 35 to 154 of the family's 154-position model. The record is from RNAcentral.